RNAcentral lists this long non-coding RNA (227 nucleotides) under Ananas comosus (pineapple). Its description in RNAcentral is "long non-coding RNA (ACOM_LNC007071)". Lineage: Eukaryota; Viridiplantae; Streptophyta; Magnoliopsida; Poales; Bromeliaceae. The record is from RNAcentral.
UCUAGUGUUCUUUACAUCACUUUAUGUUGCAAGCUCAUGCAAUCACAUUCUUUAUAUUUUCAUUACUCUUGCUAACUCUAGCAUUCUUGUUCUUAUUGCCCACUUUACUUUAACUUUACACUUGGUCACUUUCAUCAUUCUUUACAUCACUUUAGUUCUUUACAUUACAUUAACUCUAGUGUCAUUUCACAUUAGCUUUAUCGAAUGCCACUCGAUCUAUGUCAUUG